UUAACUUUUUGAAGAGUUCUUGAAAUUUUCCUUUUUCAAAACAUCAAACAAUUAAUCUUCAUACUUUGAAUUAAAGAAGAUAAAACUAGGUAAGAGUGAAUGUUCUUUUCUCAGCCAAAUAAUUGAUUUUUUAAGAGAGAAUCAAGUCGUUAAUACAAAUAGUCUUUUGUUAUCUUGAAAGAAUCUAAUGAUGUAUCAUUAUUUUGUUUGUUGAUUCUUUUAUCUUGGAAUUUGUUAGACUUAUUAUAUAUUUUUUUUGUUUAACAUUUCUUUUGGAUCUUUUUAUUUAUUUAUUUAUUUUUUAUGGAUAAGGAUCUUAAAUUUCAGGUUUAUUGCCUUGAACUUUUGGGGAUUGCUUCUACUACCUGCCUUGAACUUUUAAAUUUCUUGCUUAAUAGAGACAUAUUUCUGCUAGUAGCUUCUUUGUUUUAUGCUACAAAUGUGAAGGCUAAGGCAUAUGAUGGUUUGAUCAUUUUAACUAGAUUUUUCUUUUCAGAUUCCACCAAUUUUAUCACAGGCAUGAAAACUAUGAUUGGAUCAUCCAUUUGCAACUUAGUCUCCUCAUUUUUGCAUUGGGAAGAACCCUUAAUCAAAUGACUUUAUGUUUGAAAUCAAUAUUUUGAUUUGAUUUGUUUAAAGAGAGUCUCUGCAUUUGGCUUGAGAUCAAUGAUACGGUUUUUUUUCUUCACAAUUUUUUCUCUUUUUCUUAAUUUUUUUUUUCUAUUUACUUGCAUAUACUAUGAUAGGAGAUUUUAACACAAUGUUUUUUUGAUUGGAAGAUUUUAACACAAUGUUAUAGCCUAAUGUUAAAAAAAGUGGUUCCAGCUCUCGUCGAUCUUAACUCAACCCCUUCAAAGAGUGCAUUAUUGCAUGCACAACAAGUGUUCUUGGUACACAUCUAUCAUUGAGCGAUAUUUCAAGUUUAUCAUCCUCUUAAAUAUUAGGCUUCUAUAUGGACUAGUCUUUCAUUCUUCCUUUUUUUUCUUUUUUUCUUUUUUUCUUUUUUUAACUUCUAAAAAGGUUGUUUGUAAGGGGGUUUUAUAUAUUCAAAUAAUUCAAUAAAACUUAUUGCAUGUGUGGGCUAAACAACUUAAAAAGUGAGAGUAUGUUGAGCUAGCAACAUCAAUGUAAAACUAGUUCAAGAACACAACUCUCAACUCUCAUUCUCAGUCUCUCUCUCUAAAAGCUUCCUCAGAGGUAAGUUCAAAACCUCUAGUUUUGUUUAAUUUCACUCACUUUUCUUAUAAAUUUACUCUGUUUUCUCAACAAAUAAAUUCUCUCUAGAAAACCGAUGAUGAAUUCUCUCUGCAUUAAUCCAGUUUGUGCACAAAAUCAUAAAAGCAUGGGAGGCAGUGAAAGUCCAUGGUACUGUAGACCCCCAUUUUGGGCUAUGGGGGGACUCUCAUUUUUCACACUUUUUUGAAGACAUUUUCUUGUCCAGCUGUGGGUUUUUUUUUCGGCAGCGAAGAGAACAAGUGGCAUUUGAGUGGGCUACUGAGUAGGACGUUUUUUUGGGGAUUUUUGGUAGAGAAUAUGUUUUAGAGAGAGGAUACUUUUAGGGGGCACCAUUAGGAGACAUGAUUUUUUGCUGGCUGUUUCAAAGAGGAUAGGAGGGGGAGAUUCUCAUUCGGGCAUAGGAGGUUUUACUGAUUUUGGAGGGCAAGAAUCGAGAGGAGGAAGAAGAAGGGGAGCUAGGUGGGAAGCUGGGUGAGCUUCAAUUGAGAGGAGUUUCUCAAGUAUGUCUAUUGUGAAUUCUUUAUUCUCAUUACCAUAUGAUUUUUCCUCUUUCCUUGGCUUUUUUUGGAUUGUUUAAUUGAGCAUGGAUAUUAGGUUAUACGUUUAAAUUUAUUGGAUUUAUGAACUGUUCAUGGGUGUGUUGUUGAUUCACCUUUGUUUCUUUGGUUUUGGCUAGGAAGUAAUCUGAAUUUGUUUUGGUUUUAUAGGGUGCCUUGGGAGAUUAUAUUCUUAUUCUCAUUUUUCUGAAUCUAAUUUAGUUUCCUUCCCCACCAUUUAUAAGCACAUGGAUAACUUAUGAAAUGGUGCUUGGUUUGAAGGAUUCAUUUGUUGGAUUGUUUGUUUCUGUUAACUGUUUUGUGCUUUUCUCUCUGUUUCCUGUAUUUUUGAUGUGAUUGAUUUGAGACACAAUGGGUUGCAUUUGUUGUGAGCCUUCUGCCAUUAAGGAAAGUGGGGAGAGAAAAUAUGAUGGACAAGGCACUGAUGCUGAAAUAAAUUCCACCUUGGGUCUUUGUGCAUGGGAAAAGUUAUCUGACUAUGAGAAGUUCCAGAAGAUGCUUGGGAAUUCUUUCAGAGCAUGAACAGGAUGAUGGGGUCAAAGAAUGCUCGCUUAGAACUCCUGGUUACUGGUUAUUCAUGUCUGCAAAUGUGAAACCAAGCUGGUCUACGAUGGUUCCAGCUUCUGUAUACUUUGGUUUUGCUGCUUCAGUGAUAUAGGUUGCAAAGAAAGACUAUAAUCUUGCAAAACAACUAGAAAUUGAUCAACCUUUAAAUAACUGUGCAAGAUCUAAAAAGGAAGGUGCAGUAUACUGAGAAAAGCAGAAAUGUAAAAGACAUUGAAUUUAAUGCUGAGGAUGGGUCAAAAAUAGGAAGAAAGCUUCUUGAAGAUAACUUGCCUUAUGCUGGGAACUGCUCUGAGAUUGAUGAUUUGCGUUAACCAAAAGAAUUGCUCACCUGAAACCUGUUUGAAGCUGGUGAUUUAGAGGACCAGCUUGACAAAGGUUCAUGGAGGGCUUUUGAAGAACUCUACUGUCAAUGCUGAUGGUGGCAGCAGCUUUGCCAAUGGUGAGGUUGAUCAGUUUGGUGCCAAUGAAAGCAACAACAUGGGUUCUGGCACAUUUCAGAAUGUAACAUGGAAAUCUGAUCCAUCACAGGUUUCUGGAAAUUAUGGAGCUCAGACUAGUUGUCGUCAUUAUGAGCAUCUGAAACAUUGGAAAAUUCCCUUAAACAAUGUCGGCAUUGGCAGAAAAACAGGACGUUGGCAUUCUACAUGGAAGACACGUCGAGCUCUAUUGCUCCAGAAGUAUUACUGAAGAAAGGAUAUGGCAUGGGAUGUGAUUGGUGGUCAUUAGGUGCAGUUAUGUAUGAGAUGCUUGUUGGACAUCUCCCAUUCUAUUCUGAAAACCCAAUAACAACACGCAGAAAGUUUGUGCAUUGGAAAAAUCACUUAAAAUUCCUGAUGUGGCAAGGUUGACCCCUGAAACAAAGGAAUUAUUCAGUUAGCAGCCACCACACUUUUCACUCUUGAUGAAUUACAUUCUUCUAGAUGGGAUGCAUUUACCAGUGCUGAGAAGAUAUUAGGCAUAAGUGUUGGGGGCACGAGCUAGAGUCUUGCAGCUUCGAUUGGUGAUCUUAUCAAAUAAGAGUGUUUUAGUGGGACCACAUGGACAGAUGAAUGGAAAGAUGGAGCCCUCUGAAGGCCUACUCUCUUUUCAAGAUGCUUUGCUUCUAAUAAUUACGGGAUAUAUUUUGGCUGUUCUUGAAACCCAGCAAUAGCAAAACUGAAGUUUCUUGAUGGUUUAACAGAAGAGCUUAAAAGGCCAACAUAAACAAGAUCAAAACAGAGGUUGAAUACUAUUUCUGCAGAGAAGGUGGUUCCUCUUUCCAGAAUGCUCAGACUACACAACACAAUUGGUUGAAAGCUCAGUUGAACUUGUGGACCAAACUGUCAAAAUCCAUGAAGACACAAAGCAGCAGCAGAAAUCUAAUUGUGAAAAGGUGGUGAUCAUAUAAGGUUCUAGAGCUACCAGAUUCCUGUUCCUCAUAAUCCAUCUAACUGAUGUUGGAUCAGUUGAAAUUCAAACCAGUAUAUCUCCUUCCUCUGCUGUGCAAACGCACUAAUCAGGAGAAAUGGAAAAUUGUGAUCUCGGCUUCCAAAGCAGCAUUUUAAUUUAUCCAAGGUGUUUGUUAUAGAGGGUGGUCAGAUAUUAAGGGAAGCAGAUCAGCAAGAUUGCAUUGCUGCAGCAGUUCAUCCCUCGUAAUUUUGAUGCCAGCGAUCAUGAUGCUUCUAGCUUCACCAUUGCUGCUAUACAUAGAAUUGGGAUGUUAUAUUUUUUUAUUUUAAACACAGGCAAGGCAGGUCCUUUAUGAAACUAUGUUCAUCUUGAAUGAAUUCUUAACUUGAGGAAUACGAAAUCACCUCCAGAAUACGGUUUGGACAACUGCAUUGGUAUUUGGAUUUUUCAAGCAAGUCAGAUUUUUCUAUCCCUGGAUGGGGGGUCAAACUCACCUCCACUACAAGGCGUUCAUGACAUUAUGUUGGCACCAGGAAAUGUCACGCUUGAAUAUGAAACCUGAUAUUAUAUUGUCAAAGAAGGAUCAGGAUUCUAAAGCCAUCAAUGCUCCAAAAGGGGGUGCUCAGGACCAAUUGCAUAGACUGGCUGGAUCGGAUUAAUGCUCCCUGCAGUAUGCAUAUCGCUCGGCAGACGUCAUGGGCAAUCAGUAUCUGUUUUAUUGGUGACAUCAUCAUGACCCCUGGAGAUGAUGCUGGUUUGAUGCCUCCCUACAAAAAUUGCCCCAAUUCAAGUGAUAAUCAUACCAAUCUGAAAGAAGGCUGAUGAAAUUCCCACCUAGAACACCUCUGCCAUCUAUUGUACAGCUGAAAGCAAGAUCUGUGCAUUUUGAGCCUCUUGAUCACUAUGCCACAUGUGUAUUUUUUAGGUCCUCAGCAUAUCAGGUUGUGUACAAACACAAACGUGAUGCCAGGCAGCAUAUGGUUUCAUCACGCAAAACAGUCUCCUUUAGUUCAGCAUUCAACUCCGAGUGUCCCUGCUCACUUAAAAGAAGAACUAGCUCAUUUCAUCUGUCAGGGAAUACUUAGAUCAAUUCAGAAACCUCUCUACAACAACCAAAAAACUGAUCUUGAAUCCCCAACGCCCACAUUAUUACCACAGGCAAGCAAGCAAUUUAAUGUUGCCUCUGAUGCUGUUUUUGUGGAGAGCUCAACAUCCAAUACUUUGUCCUCUGCUCCAAGUGCUCUUUCUAAUGAACAUGCAUCGAUUGUGAUCAACAAUGAAGGUAGAAGAAGAGAACCCUUAGUGAUCAAAGCUAAGUUGCAAAUUGGGAUGGGUCUGCUGUCAAUGGGUGCCACAUUAAAUUAAACUGAGCUCAGUUAAGCCCUGUAGAUCUUAUUUCAAAGGAAGCUUGAUUAUUGGAAAGGCCACCAUCCUCUGUCUGACACUGUAUUAUGAAGUUGCUAAAGGGAAUGAAAUGCUAGUAUUUCUCAAAGCAAGGGAGAGAGAUAUUGUGUCGCCUGCUGUUUUUCAUGGUGAAACAAGCAAUUCUUUACCUUGCAUGUCAACACUAGGUAAAAGUGAAUUCUCUUGCUGUGAUAUUGCAGUUAAUGUCUAUAAAUCUCAAUGCUCCACAGGUGAAGGAGAUGGUUCAGUGAGCUUGAUUGCUGGGGAUUACCAAUGAUGCUAACAAGAAAUUCAUUUGUGAUGGAAAUUCUGACAUAAUGCUCAAUGAUUGCCUAGAUUGUGAUUUUGGUAGAGAAUGACUCUGUUUCAAAAGAUGGCAUUGAAACUGCAGUCGAUACAAUGAAUGUAAAUUCUGAAACUUCUUCUGCUGGAAAUGCAUGAAAGCUUAUUCUGAGAUGCAUGUGAUGGAAGGCGCUGUAAGUUAGCUUUUUUGUCCAGAAACAAAAUGCAAGGGCAUGGUUCCACCUGUUUUGUUGAAAGGAUUGCUUGGUGAGGAAGAAUUUGAACAUUGGGAGUCCUUAAUGUUGCAGAAACCACUUGAGUUAAUGUCUGAUGUAACCUAUCACCUUAGAUGUGAAACAAUCUGCAUAGAGGAUGAAAACCAACACUACUGCUAAAGCUAACGGUACUCCUGCAGGUAAAGACUAUGUAUUUGGACAGCUCAUCUGGACAAAUAUACCAACUUAGUGACAUCCAUCUGGUGUUGAAUUCCACAAUGUUCCUUCCAGUUUGCUUCCUUCCACAUAGUCAUCUAAGAAGAAUUUGGAAACUCCUUUUUUGGCCCCACAAGAGUUAAAUGAUCAAAAUUCCCAAAAAGGGGGGGAAUGAAUUAUUGGUCGGACCAUCAUUGAAUGUCAGCUUGAAUUCCUCUUCAGGGCCUCCAAAUUUUCUGCUACCUUUUCCUGGUAAUGCUGUUGAAGAAAUAGGCUGAAGGAAAUCAGCUUUCUUUUUUCAACAAGGACAAGGUCUUCCUCAGGACUACUAUGGUGAUGGGUAUCAUGCACCUGCUCCUCAACUUGCCUAUGGUCAACCUCAGCCAAUUCCAGGAUAUGAUCAGUAGUAAGAUUGUAAUUCUGCCACUGGUUACGGUGAUGUGGCCAACCCAGUGCAAGAGGGGCACACUGACUCCUAAGUUCAGAAAUUUGAACAUAUCUGUUAAGUUAUCAAUGACCAAAGAUACUCAACUGAGCCUGUGGAGAAUGAGUUAGAUUCAGAUUCCCAAUGCCCAGAUGUUAGAUAUGAAGCUCUCUGCUCAUUUGCUUCCAUCUGAAACUCAAUGCAUAGACGAUGACUCAAUUCUUGCCCUCCAGCUGGUGAAGUUCUUGAUUUCUCAUCUGUGAGGUUCAGUGGCUCUGCUUCUACAGAUCCUACCUAUGAAUUACCAGUGAACAAUGAAGACCUUGCAGAGAAUGCUGACUUAAAUGUUGCUGCUUUUGGAGAUGUACAUUCAGCAGGGUUUGGUCUUAAAAAUUCCUGAGAGUGAGAGUUCAAAAGACAGAAAAAGAAAAUUUUCUACAGGAUCAGUUCUCUCUCAAACGGGUCAAAAAUCAUCCACAGCUGUUGACAAAAAUGAAACUGGGAAGAUCAUCCUGCUCUCCAGAAAAUCUUGGAUGUUAUAGAAAUGCAACUGGUUAUUCCUUCAAGCACCCCUUUUCUAAGGCUCUUUUAGGGUUGCAAUUCAUGCUUAACAGAAUCUUGAUAUUACGAGAAAAUGACUCAAAAUUCUCUCUCUCCGUUCAAUUGGAACCUAUUAUUGUUUUGGCAUUCUGAUAAAAAAAUCGAGUUUGAUUCUUGGCUUGCCUUGCUCGACAAAGUUCAGGAUCGGUAUCAGAUUAAUGGUGGGAAGUUACAGCUUCCUCUAUAAUCAGUUCUUCAGUAUUGGCAGUCUAUAAUUUUGGCAUGCAUGGCCAGUCAGAAGGAUUGGGAUGAAACUGAUGGAGAAAAUGGCUUGAUCUAUGCUCAGUUGAAGUUUCAGGUGCACUGCCACUCUGGCCAACUGCAGCGGGAAAUGCUCAAUCUCUUGACGCCAUAGAGUGAGCUUUGGCCGACCCUGGAUCAAAUUCCUGGAAGAGCAACUGGUGCAUACAGUCACAGUCAGGAUGGUGCAAGCCCAACAGUCCAUCUGAUGAUGCAGUCACUGAUAAGAUCGAGAGUGGGGAAAGGAUGAAGAUAUGAAACAACUAUUUGGAAAAGAAUUAGAAUCUGGGAACUUCAUUGGUGUCCAUGCAUGGUGUUUUAUGUAUACAUGGAUUAGAAAGAAAACAAGAUUGAGCCUGUUUCACGUAUAGGGUAAACCUGAUCUCUAGGUAGGGCUUUAGUCUUGAACCUGCUCAAACUUUUCUGAUGGUCCAAAAGCUUGCAUGCACAAGGUUCUUUUGAUUAUUGAAGGAUCAUGCGAAGCACAUGUUCACGUGGAUGAUGGCCGAAUGGUCAUUAUGGGUAAUAUCCAACUAAAUACAAAGCUGUUGUGGUUGAGCUCCUCAAGAAGGCAGCUUGAGUGCAUCUCUGGAAAAUUCAUAUAUGGAAGAUUCAUCUACUGAGUUUGAUGGUCUAGAAAACAAAUCAUAUGUAUCUGACAGUACAUUCACCAGGAGCAUUGGGUCUUCCUCUAGUGACCAAUUUGACAGUACAUCUCAUCCAGGAGAAGCUAGCAGUAUAGACACAAGUCGCUCAGCAUCAGGUUCAACAACAAACCUUUUUCCAUGGAUGGUCACUGUAGCUGUUAGUUCAACAGAUAAAGAUUUUACAUAUGUUAUCAAAUUAAGGGAUGGUGCUAAUUUCAUGGGUGAAAGUUGGAAUCUGAUUGAAACGAUUCCCCCACAAGCAUCAUCUCUGCAUCCGAAGGCUAUGCAGGAUAUUUCAUUCCCUAUCAAUCCAGCUAUUGUUUGAAGAGUUCUAUGAAAAAUACUAAGGCCGGAGGGAAGAUUUUGGUAUGCCAACAUGCUGAGAGUCCAACAGAUCCAAAGCUGGCAAAGAGUACACUAAUCAGAGAAGCUGGUGCGGUUGAGAUAAUUCUUAAAUGAAGCAGACUAGGAUGUUGCCAUUCCUUUUGUGACCCCUGAAGCUAUUGUUGGAAGGGGCUUAGGGGACAGGAUUCUAUCCUAUAUUAAUCAUACACACAGACUGGUUUCUAGGAUUUUUUCCUACAAAGACUGUAUUAGGAUCUCUCCCUACUCAUCAAGUUGACGCCUUUUCUUCAAGAGGAAUUGUGGUCUUGAUCAGAGCCGUGCAUCCAUCAAGUUACUACAUUUAAUCAAAAAGUGCAACAGCACAUGCGAUCACAUCUGUACUGAACCCCCAUCAAUCACAAUGCCCAAUUCUACCACAGCCCAUGCGAGGAUUGUCGUCUCAGUGAGACUACCUGAGAUCACUGAAACUGAUAUGGAGGGGAGCUUGCAAAUGCUUACCAGUGGUGUUCAGACCAAUCCCCUGUUUCAAUAAUUCAAACCGAUGGAGCCAUUCCCAAGCCAGCGUUAGAUUUACAGCCAAAGCCAAACCUUCUGCAUGGACACCUUGGUGCACACUAUCAUCCUUCUAAUGCUUUUCAUUUCCUUGUGAUCUUACACGUUUUGAAUCGGGUUUUCAAUUUUCAUUAAAAUAAUUUCAGUUUUCUUUAAAUUUCAUCCUUAGAAAAUAAAAACUCAAUUUUAAUAAACUUUUUGCUGCCAAAUUCCCUUCCAAUAUGUAUUUUCUUAUUUUCUUUGGUUUUUAACAUUUUUUCUCAAUUUUCUCGAUUUUAAUAAAAAUGAAUAAAUUCUAUAAUUCUAAAAAUAAGGGAAUCCCUUCCAAAUUCCUAUGAUUCCUCUAUAAUCAUUAGAGAGCUGGAAUUUAUGGAAUUAGUUCAUUUAAAUAAAUUUGGGCAGUGGUGGGACCCGACAUACAUGAUUUUCUCCUUUGUUUAUUGAUUCCCAUUGUAAUACUAAUUCUUUGAUUUUUGAUCAACUUUGAUAUAUUCUGUGAUACAUAUGAUCUUAUUUUAUA
Long non-coding RNA from Vitis vinifera (wine grape), 9194 nucleotides. RefSeq lists it as uncharacterized. The transcript has 2 exons. NCBI's taxonomy places the organism in Eukaryota, Viridiplantae, Streptophyta, Magnoliopsida, Vitales, Vitaceae. The record is from RefSeq and is a predicted model, not a curated record.